CUGUAAAUAUUGACAGAUCAGGAACAGGUAAUGCCUGUUGCUAAGGUUUUCACUACAGAUGCAAGAAAAAAGGUCCUCACACUUUCUGUCUGUCUGGUUGUGGCAGCCAAGAUUGAAUGGGGCAACAUAG
Molecule: small nucleolar RNA, 130 nt
Filed under: Dasypus novemcinctus (nine-banded armadillo)
Lineage: Eukaryota; Metazoa; Chordata; Mammalia; Cingulata; Dasypodidae
Description: Small nucleolar RNA SNORA31 (ENSDNOG00000030033.1)
Rfam family: Small nucleolar RNA SNORA31
About the family: ACA31 (SNORA31) belongs to the H/ACA class of snoRNAs which are thought to guide the sites of modification of uridines to pseudouridines. ACA31 is predicted to guide the pseudouridylation of U3713 in 28S rRNA and U218 in 18S rRNA. This family includes the mouse homologue snoMBI-161.
Source: RNAcentral